This 1289-nucleotide ribosomal RNA is filed under the name metagenome. RNAcentral describes it as "SSU rRNA". It matches the Rfam family "Eukaryotic small subunit ribosomal RNA", at positions 483 to 1786 of the family's 1831-position model. The record is from RNAcentral.
AUGCGGGACUCAUCAGAGGCCUCGCAAUUGGAAUGAGCGCACUUUAAAUCGUUCGACGAGGAUCUAUUGGAGGGCAAGUCUGGUGCCAGCAGCCGCGGUAAUUCCAGCUCCAAUAGCGUAUAUUAAAGUUGUUGCAGUUAAAAAGCUCGUAGUUGGAUCUGGGGUUCGGGUCGGCGGUUUGCCGCUUCGGCGGCUACUGCCGUGCUCGACUCUUACUAGCCGGUGCGUCUUGCGGUGCUCUUCAUCGAGUGCCGUAGGAGCCUGGCAUGUUUACUUUGAAAAAAUUAGAGUGCUCAAAGCAGGCGAUUCCGCCUGAAUAGUGUUGCAUGGAAUAAUGGAAUAGGACCUCGGUUCUAUUUUGUUGGUUUUCGGAACUUGAGGUAAUGAUUAAGAGGGACGGUCGGGGGCAUUCGUAUUUCGGUGUUAGAGGUGAAAUUCUUGGAUCGCUGAAAGACGGACAAAUGCGAAAGCAUCUGCCAAGAACGUCUCCAUUAAUCAAGAACGAAAGUCAGAGGUUCGAAGACGAUCAGACACCGUCCUAGUUCUGACCAUAAACGAUGCCAACUAGCGAUCCGCAGUGGUUGCUAUAAACGGACUCUGCGAGCAGCUUCCGGGAAACCAAAGUGUUUGGGUUCCGGGGGAACUAUGGUUGCAAAGCUGAAACUUAAAGGAAUUGACGGAAGGGCACCACCAGGAGUGGAGCCUGCGGCUUAAUUUGACCCAACACGGGGAAACUCACCCGGUCCGGACACUGUAAGGAUUGACAGAUCGAGAGCUCUUUCUUGAUUCGGUGGAUGGUGGUGCAUGGCCGUUCUUAGUUGGUGGAGUGAUUUGUCUGGUUAAUUCCGAUAACGAACGAGACGCUAGCCUGCUAACUAGUUGCGCCGUGUUCAUACGCGGCUGUAGACUUCUUAGAGGGACAGGUGGCGUUUAGCCACACGAAAUUGAGCAAUAACAGGUCUGUGAUGCCCUUAGAUGUCCGGGGCCGCACGCGCGCUACACUGAAGGAGUCAACGUGUGCUAUCCGGGCUCGGAAGAGUUCGGUAACCCGUUGAAACUCCUUCGUGCUUGGGAUUGUGGCUUGUAAUUAUCGCGCAUGAACGAGGAAUUCCCAGUAAGUGCAAGUCAUCAGCUUGCGCUGACUACGUCCCUGCCCUUUGUACACACCGCCCGUCGCUACUACCGAUUGAAUGGUUUAGCAAGGUACUCGGAUUGGUCUCGAUCUUGUACGAAAGUGCGGGAUCUGUGGCCGAGAAGAAGGCCAAACUUGAUCAUUUAGAGGAAGUAAA